Molecule: RNA transcript, 6253 nt
Organism: Chrysemys picta bellii (western painted turtle)
Lineage: Eukaryota; Metazoa; Chordata; Testudines; Emydidae
Gene: MYH15
Gene name: myosin heavy chain 15
Source: RefSeq, a predicted model, not a curated record
CUGCUGUAGCAUUGCCGCCUCUUCCAGGACCCAGCAGACAAAUAUAGAAACAAAGGGAAACUACUGAUGCCUUUAAAUUGUUAUCACCACCAGUGACCUUGAGGAAGGUGUAUAAAAAGUCUGCAUCAAGCAGAAUCCUGAUACUUUUCUUCUUUGCUUUACAGGACUAGAUCCUUUUCUUCUCUCUUUGGGCUGCACUGUCUAGAGAACUCGCCAAGAUGAUGGACAUGUCGGAAUUCGGGGAGGCUUCACCUUUCCUCAGGAAGAGCGAGAAGGAGAUAAUGAUAUUACAAACUGUGGCAUUUGAUGGGAAGAAGAGGUGUUGGAUUCCUGAUGAAAAGAACGCUUAUAUUGAAGCUGAUAUUAAAGAGAGCAGCGGUGGCAAAGUCACUGUUGAGACUGUGGAUGGAAAGACCGUCACUGUAAAAGAAGAUGAUGUUCAGCCGAUGAACCCCCCGAAGUUUGACAUGAUUGAGGACAUGGCUAUGUUGACUCACCUUAAUGAGGCAUCUGUGCUGCACAAUUUGAACAGGCGCUAUAGCCACUGGAUGAUUUAUACCUAUUCAGGUUUAUUCUGCGUGACUAUAAACCCCUACAAAUGGCUUCCAGUCUACAACCCGGAAGUAGUUAAUGCAUACAAAGGCAAGAGGCGGUCAGAGUCUCCCCCUCACAUCUUCUCCAUUGCAGAUAACGCGUACAAUGACAUGCUGCGCAAUCGAGAGAACCAGUCUAUGCUGAUCACUGGAGAAUCUGGUGCCGGCAAGACUGUGAAUACAAAGCGUGUCAUUCAGUAUUUUGCCACAGUUGCAGCACUCGGGGAACCUGGUAAAAAAAGUCAACCAGCCACCAAGACUGGGGGAACCUUGGAAGAUCAAAUCAUCCAAGCAAAUCCUGCCUUAGAAGCCUUUGGGAAUGCCAAAACCCUGAGAAAUGACAACUCCUCACGUUUUGGUAAAUUUAUCAGAAUCCAUUUUGGAACCACAGGCAAGCUGUCAUCUGCUGAUAUUGAAAUUUAUUUGCUGGAGAAAUCCCGAGUGAUUUUCCAGCAGCCAGGUGAAAGAUCCUAUCAUAUCUUCUACCAAAUCCUGUCAGGAAAGAAAGCAGAGCUACAAGAUAUGUUGCUGGUGUCUACCAAUCCCUAUGACUUCCACUUUUGUUCACAAGGGGCAGUGACUGUGGACAAUUUGGAUGACGGAGAAGAGCUGAUGGCAACAGAUCAAGCCAUGGACAUCUUGGGAUUUAUUCCCGAUGAAAAAUAUGGUGCCUACAAGCUUACUGGUUCGAUCAUGCACUUUGGAAACAUGAAAUUUAAACAAAGACCCAGGGAGGAGCAAGCAGAGACUGAUGGCACUGAAAAUACUGAUAAAGCUGCUUACCUGAUGGGACUUAACUCCUCUGAUUUGGUUAAGGGUUUGUUGCACCCCAGAGUGAAAGUUGGAAAUGAGUACGUCACCAAAGGUCAAAGUGUCGAACAGGUUGUGUAUGCUGUUGGGGCCUUAUCCAAGGCAGUGUAUGAUCGAAUGUUCAAGUGGCUGGUGAUCCGUAUUAACAAGACCUUGGACACUAGGCUGCCAAGACAGUUCUUCAUUGGGGUCUUGGACAUUGCUGGCUUUGAAAUCUUUGAUUAUAACAGCUUUGAGCAACUUUGCAUCAAUUACACAAACGAAAAACUGCAACAGUUUUUCAAUCACCACAUGUUUGUCUUGGAGCAAGAAGAAUACAAAAAGGAAGGCAUUGAAUGGGUAUUCAUUGAUUUUGGCUUGGACUUGCAGGCCUGCAUUGACCUAAUUGAAAAGCCAUUGGGCAUCCUGUCUAUCCUGGAAGAGGAGUGCAUGUUCCCAAAGGCUACAGAUAUGACAUUCAAAGCCAAACUUUAUGACAACCAUCUUGGCAAGUCACCCAACCUUCAGAAACCUCGGAUUGACAAGAAAAAGAAAUUUGAAGCCCACUUUGAACUUCUUCAUUAUGCUGGUGCGGUGCCCUAUAACAUCAUUGGCUGGCUUGAGAAAAACAAAGACCCACUUAAUGAAACUGUGGUGGGCAUUUUUCAAAAAUCUGCCAACAAACUGCUGGGAAGCCUGUUUGAAAAUUAUGUCAGUGCUGACUGUGUUGAUCACAGUGCAGAAAAGAAACGCAAGAAAGGAGCUUCCUUCCAAACAGUGUCAUCGCUACACAAAGAAAAUUUAAAUAAACUGAUGACUAACCUGAGAUCUACAGCUCCUCACUUUGUGCGCUGUAUUAUCCCCAAUGAAACUAAAACUCCAGGUGCAAUGGAUGCUUACCUUGUCCUCCACCAGCUUCGCUGUAAUGGUGUCCUGGAAGGAAUCCGUAUUUGCCGUAAGGGAUUUCCAAACAGAGUGAUUUAUGCUGACUUUAAACAAAGGUACCGUAUUCUGAAUCCAGCUGCCAUUCCAGAAGAUAAGUUUGUAGACAGCAGAAAAGCUUCUGAAAAACUGCUGGGUUCUUUAGAUAUUGACCAAACCCAGUAUCGUUUUGGACACACAAAGGUAUUCUUUAAGGCUGGUCUCCUGGGCCAUCUGGAAGAAAUGAGGGAUCAUAGACUAUCCAAGAUCCUAACACUGAUCCAAGCAAGAGCACGAGGCAAACUGAUGCGUAUUGAGUUCCAAAAAAUAGUGGAGCGAAGAGAUGCCCUUCUCGUGAUCCAGUGGAACAUUCGAGCUUUCAUGGCUGUGAAGAACUGGCCCUGGAUGAAGCUUUUCUUCAAGAUCAAGCCCCUUCUGAAGUCCGCAGAAACUGAAAAGGAAAUGGCCAAUAUGAAGGAGGAAUUCUUGAGGCUGAAGGAGGCCUUGGAAAAAUCUGAAGCCAGGAGGAAGGAAUUGGAAGAAAAGCAAGUUUCUCUGGUUCAGGAGAAGAAUGACUUGCUCCUUCAGCUCCAGGCAGAGCAAGACACACUAGCAGAUGCAGAAGAACGAUGCGACAUGCUGAUUAAAUCCAAGAUCCAGAUGGAGGCAAAAGUCAAAGAACUGACAGAGCGGGUGGAGGAUGAAGAGGAGAUGAACUCUGAGUUGACCUCCAAGAAGAGAAAACUGGAAGAUGAGUGCUCUGAAUUGAAGAAAGACAUUGAUGACCUUGAAAUAACAUUGGCAAAAGUAGAGAAAGAAAAACAUGCUACUGAAAAUAAGGUCAAAAAUCUGACAGAAGAAAUGGCAUCUCUGGAUGAGACCAUAAGCAAACUUACUAAAGAGAAGAAAUCUUUGCAGGAAGCUCACCAGCAAGCUCUGGAUGACCUACAGGCAGAGGAAGACAAGGUCAACACACUGAGCAAAACUAAGCUGAAACUAGAACAGCAAGUAGAUGAUCUUGAGGGCUCACUAGAACAAGAGAAGAAAAUAAGGAUGGACCUGGAAAGGGUCAAACGCAAACUGGAAGGGGAUUUGAAGCUGACCCAGGAGAGUCUCAUGGAUUUGGAAAAUGAUAAGUUGCAGUUGGAUGAAAAGUUAAAGAAGAAAGAAUUUGAAACAAAUCAGCUGAACUCCAAGCUGGAGGAUGAACAAACCCUAGUGAUGCAACUCCAGAAGAAGAUCAAGGAGCUGCAGGCUCGUAUAGAGGAGCUAGAAGAGGAGCUGGAAGCAGAAAGAGCUGCCCGAGCCAAGGUGGAAAAGCAGAGAUCGGAUCUGGCUCGAGAGCUGGAGGAGCUGAGUGAGCGGCUGGAGGAGGCUGGAGGAGCCACUGCAGCACAGCUGGAGAUGAACAAGAAGCGGGAGGCCGAGUUCCUGAAGCUGCGGCGGGACCUCGAGGAGGCCACGCUGCACUAUGAGGCGACAGCUGCCACCCUGAGGAAGAAGCACGCAGACAGCAUGGCGGAGCUGGGGGAGCAAGUGGACAACCUGCAGCGUGUCAAGCAGAAACUAGAGAAAGAGAAGAGUGAGCUGAAGCUGGAGGUGGACGACCUGUCAUCCAACAUGGAGCAGAUGGUCAAGGGAAAAUCGAAUGCGGAAAAACUUUGUCGCACAUAUGAAGACAACCUCAAUGAGACAAAGACUAAACUGGAUGAAAUGACUCGCUUAAUGAAUGACCUCACCACCCAAAAAGGAAAGCUGCAAACUGAGAAUGGUGAAUUUGCAAGACAGCUAGAAGAGAAAGAGUCACUGAUAAGUCAGCUUUCCAGAGGGAAGACAUCAUUCACUCAGCAGAUUGAAGAACUUAGAAGACUGCUGGAAGAGGAAACCAAGUCCAAGAAUGCCCUUGCUCAUGCACUGCAAGCUGCCAGGCACGACUGCGAUCUUUUGCGGGAGCAGUUUGAAGAGGAGCAAGAAGCCAAGGCAGAGCUGCAGCGGGCUCUGUCCAAGGGAAAUGCAGAAGUGGCACAGUGGAGGACUAAAUAUGAAACUGAUGCCAUUCAAAGAACUGAGGAGUUAGAAGAAGCCAAAAAAAAGCUAGCGGCUCGCCUACAGGAAGCUGAGGAAGCAAUUGAGGCAGCCAAUGCCAAGUGCUCUUCCCUGGAGAAGACAAAGCACAGGCUGCAGAAUGAACUGGAGGACAUCAUGAUUGACUUAGAAAGGGCCAAUUCGGCAGCGGCAGCCCUGGACAAGAAGCAGCGCAAUUUUGACAAGCUCAUCAGUGACUGGAAGCAGAAGUACGAGGAGACGCAAGCAGAGCUUGAAGCUUCCCAGAAGGAAGCCCGCAACCUGAGCACAGAGCUGUUUAAACUGAAGAAUGCCUAUGAAGAGACUCUGGACAAUCUGGAGACAGUGAAAAGGGAAAACAAGAAUCUCCAAGAGGAGAUUUCUGAUCUGACUGAUCAGAUUAGUGAAGGAAACAAGAGCCUUCAUGAGAUAGAAAAACUCAAGAAACAGGUUGAACAAGAAAAGUCAGAAGUUCAGUUAGCCCUGGAAGAAGCUGAGGGAGCCCUGGAGCAUGAAGAAAGCAAAAGCCUUCGUUUCCAACUUGAAAUUUCUCAGAUUAAAGCAGAGUUUGAAAGAAAACUGGCAGAAAAGGAGGAGGAAAUGGAAAACAUUAGGAGAAACCAGCAGCGUACCAUAGACUCGCUGCAGUCCACCCUUGAUUCUGAAGCCAAGAGCAGAAAUGAGGCCAUCCGGCUGAAGAAGAAGAUGGAAGGGGACCUCAACGAGAUGGAAAUCCAGCUCAGCCAUGCUAACAGGCAUGCCUCAGAGGCAAUAAAGUCUGCACGUAUCCUGCAGGCACAAAUAAAGGACCUGCAAGUGCAGUUGGAUGAUUCAGAACACCUGAAUGAAGACCUGAAGGAGCAACUGGCGGUCACUGACAGGCGGAACAAUCUUCUCCAGUCAGAGCUUGAUGAGCUGAGGGCCCUGCUAGACCAGACUGAACGUGGGCGUAAGCUGGCAGAACACGAGCUACUGGAAGCCACCGAACGUGUGAACCUUCUCCACACCCAGAACACAAGCCUUAUCAAUCAGAAGAAGAAGCUGGAGACUGACAUCUCUCAGAUGCAGAAUGAAGUGGAGGAGGCUAUACAGGAGUGCAGGAACGCUGAAGAAAAAGCCAAGAAAGCUAUCACCGAUGCAGCAAUGAUGGCUGAGGAGCUUAAAAAGGAGCAAGAUACUAGUGCCCACUUGGAGAGAAUGAAAAAGAACAUGGAACAGACUAUUAAAGAUCUACAGAAAAGGCUGGAUGAAGCAGAGCAAAUAGCACUGAAAGGUGGCAAGAAGCAGAUCCAAAAGCUGGAAUCCAGAGUACGUGAGCUGGAAAAUGAUCUCGAGAAUGAACUCCGUCGUAAUACAGAAUCCCAGAAAGGAGUCCGCAAAUAUGAGAGACGCAUAAAGGAGCUGACUUAUCAGGCAGAGGAAGAUAAGAAGAAUCUGACCAGGAUGCAGGAGCUGAUCGAUAAGCUGCAAUUAAAAGUGAAAAGCUAUAAGCAUCAAGCUGAGGAAGCUGAAGCACAAUCCAAUCAGUAUCUUGCAAAGUACAGGAAGCAGCAACAUGAGCUGGAUGAUGCUGAAGAACGGGCUGAAAUAGCUGAAUCUCAAGUUAAUAAACUGAGGACCAAGACAAGAGAUAUUGGGAUAAAAAAGGUACGGUGUUAUUCUGCAGAAUAAGUGAGUCUCCGCACACUGACACAUGUGCACACAUACUUGCAGAGGAAGGCGAACUGAUCAGCACAGCUCUACAAAGGUUCAAGAAGAGGAGUAAACAUACUAUGCACUGAGUAACUGAAGACUGAACAGUGUUUGAUGCUUCCUAUUAAUUGAUGAGCUACACAGUUAAAGUAGAAUAGGCACCUUAAGAAAUAAAAAUGAAAUAUAAACCCAAA